UCGAAAUCAGUCUUCAGCAUAUUGUAGGUC
This 30-nucleotide non-coding RNA is filed under the name Homo sapiens (human). The record is from RNAcentral. Lineage: Eukaryota; Metazoa; Chordata; Mammalia; Primates; Hominidae.